UGGAUGAACGCUAGCUACAGGCUUAACACAUGCAAGUCGAGGGGCAGCAUGGUCUUAGCUUGCUAAGGCCGAUGGCGACCGGCGCACGGGUGAGUAACACGUAUCCAACCUGCCGUCUACUCUUGGACAGCCUUCUGAAAGGAAGAUUAAUACAAGAUGGCAUCAUGAGUCCGCAUGUUCACAUGAUUAAAGGUAUUCCGGUAGACGAUGGGGAUGCGUUCCAUUAGAUAGUAGGCGGGGUAACGGCCCACCUAGUCUUCGAUGGAUAGGGGUUCUGAGAGGAAGGUCCCCCACAUUGGAACUGAGACACGGUCCAAACUCCUACGGGAGGCAGCAGUGAGGAAUAUUGGUCAAUGGGCGAGAGCCUGAACCAGCCAAGUAGCGUGAAGGAUGACUGCCCUAUGGGUUGUAAACUUCUUUUAUAAAGGAAUAAAGUCGGGUAUGCAUACCCGUUUGCAUGUACUUUAUGAAUAAGGAUCGGCUAACUCCGUGCCAGCAGCCGCGGUAAUACGGAGGAUCCGAGCGUUAUCCGGAUUUAUUGGGUUUAAAGGGAGCGUAGAUGGAUGUUUAAGUCAGUUGUGAAAGUUUGCGGCUCAACCGUAAAAUUGCAGUUGAUACUGGAUAUCUUGAGUGCAGUUGAGGCAGGCGGAAUUCGUGGUGUAGCGGUGAAAUGCUUAGAUAUCACGAAGAACUCCGAUUGCGAAGGCAGCCUGCUAAGCUGCAACUGACAUUGAGGCUCGAAAGUGUGGGUAUCAAACAGGAUUAGAUACCCUGGUAGUCCACACGGUAAACGAUGAAUACUCGCUGUUUGCGAUAUACGGCAAGCGGCCAAGGAAAAGCGUUUAAUAUUCCACCUGGGGGAGUACGCCGGCAACGGUGAAACUCAAAGGAAUUGACGGGGGCCCGCACAAGCGGGAGGAACAAUGUGGUUUAAUUCGAAUGAUACGCGAGGAACCUUACCCGGGCUUAAAUUGCAGAUGAAUUACGGUGAAAGCCGUAAGCCGCAAGGCAUCUGUGAAGGUGCUGCAUGGUUGUCGUCAGCUCGUGCCGUGAGGUGUCGGCUUAAGUGCCAUAACGAGCGCAACCCUUGUUGUCAGUUACUAACAGGUUCCGCUGAGGACUCUGACAAGACUGCCAUCGUAAGAUGUGAGGAAGGUGGGGAUGACGUCAAAUCAGCACGGCCCUUACGUCCGGGGCUACACACGUGUUACAAUGGGGGGUACAGAGGGCCGCUACCACGCGAGUGGAUGCCAAUCCCCAAAACCUCUCUCAGUUCGGACUGGAGUCUGCAACCCGACUCCACGAAGCUGGAUUCGCUAGUAAUCGCGCAUCAGCCACGGC
RNAcentral lists this ribosomal RNA (1341 nucleotides) under uncultured organism. Its description in RNAcentral is "SSU rRNA". It matches the Rfam family "Bacterial small subunit ribosomal RNA", at positions 26 to 1358 of the family's 1533-position model. The record is from RNAcentral.